AUGACAAGUCGAACGAUGAAGCCGGAGCUUGCUCUGGUGGAUUAGUGGCGAACGGGUGAGUAACACGUGAGUAACCUGCCCUUGACUCUGGAAUAAGCGUUGGAAACGACGUCUAAUACUGGAUACGAGCUUCAGCCGCAUGGCUAGGAGCUGGAAAGAAUUUCGGUCAAGGAUGGACUCGCGGCCUAUCAGGUAGUUGGUGAGGUAAUAGCUCACCAAGCCUACGACGGGUAGCCGGCCUGAGAGGGUGACCGGCCACACUGGAACUGAGACACGGUCCAGACUCCUACGGGAGGCAGCAGUGGGGAAUAUUGCACAAUGGGCGAAAGCCUGAUGCAGCAACGCCGCGUGAGGGACGACGGCCUUCGGGUUGUAAACCUCUUUUAGUAGGGAAGAAGCGAAAGUGACGGUACCUGCAGAAAAAGCACCGGCUAACUACGUGCCAGCAGCCGCGGUAAUACGUAGGGUGCAAGCGUUAUCCGGAAUUAUUGGGCGUAAAGAGCUCGUAGGCGGUUUGUCGCGUCUGCUGUGAAAACUGGGGGCUCAACCCCCCAGCCUGCAGUGGGUACGGCAGACUAGAGUGCGGUAGGGGAGAUUGGAAUUCCUGGUGUAGCGGUGGAAUGCGCAGAUAUCAGGAGGAACACCAAUGGCGAAGGCAGAUCUCUGGGCCGGUUACUGACGCUGAGAGCGAAAAGCUUGGGGGAGCGACCAGGAUUUAAAAAUACCCUGGUUAAGUU
Molecule: ribosomal RNA, 737 nt
Filed under: Leifsonia sp. Hp81
Lineage: Bacteria; Bacillati; Actinomycetota; Actinomycetes; Micrococcales; Microbacteriaceae
Description: bacterial SSU rRNA
Rfam family: Bacterial small subunit ribosomal RNA
Source: RNAcentral